This is a long non-coding RNA of Canis lupus familiaris (dog), 2070 nucleotides long. RefSeq lists it as uncharacterized. Lineage: Eukaryota; Metazoa; Chordata; Mammalia; Carnivora; Canidae. The transcript is spliced from 4 exons. The record is from RefSeq and is a predicted model, not a curated record.
UCCAGCCACUCCAAUAAAGAGAUUCGAACGCCUCUCUCAUCGGCAGCUUCCAGAAGGCUACCGGCAGGUCACACGUGCUAAUCCAGCAGGAUUUAUUUAAUUCAGCUCAGUACAGUUACUCCUUGUAGAGUUGUGUGUGCAAAGAACUGCACAAGAGAAGGCAAGGCUUCCUUAUUUUAGGGACACGGAAGUGAUUCCGAGACUCAAAACAGGUACACGGACUAAAAAUACAACUUUGGGUUUGAAACCUUAAGGGAACCAACCAUGUAAGAGAAAAAAUUGCGGACCCCACCCUGCGCUUCCCUUAAAAUUGCUUUCCCUUAAAGCAAAACUCGGCCUAGGCUCACAAGUGGAAGGUAAAGGUGUAAAGGUCUGGCCUGACCCGCUGAUGAGAUGCAGAUGCUGGGAUGCUGGCGCUCUCUCUCUCUCUCUCUCUCUCUCUGAAAAGUUGCUUCACUUCCUGCCGAAUCAAAACAAGUUUGGCAGUUUAUGUGGAAAAACAAGUCCAGCAGAUGCCUCUCCGAAAGUGUUAGGCUUCUGGCCUCCUUUGGGGUAGCUAAGUGCAUGCCUCUGGAUAAAAAGCACUGUUGAGUAACAUUUCCCCCUCUGCCUCAAGUCUCCAGACCCUGGACGUUUAGGUUGUCUUCCGGAUGUGAGGCAUUUAUCCUCCUGACCUAAGCGCGAUGUAAAAAAUGUUUCCCAAAUUAGGUAGUGCCAACGUAACCAUGAUAGCCUUUGUGAACUGGUCGCACCUUAGUGAUGUGAGCUUUCAUUAGCAUUUAAAAAAGAAGACAGGAAUCUGGAAUGUAGCACUCACAUCCGAUGAAGGAUUUCCUUUUUCUCUCUCUAGAGAUGCACUGUCCAAUACAAUAACUACAUCCCACAGGUUUAAGCCAUAACCAUCAGCCAACUGUUCUUGACCUACGCAACUGGCAAGUGUGACUUGAGCAGCUUCCCUGCCUCUGUGUCUUCAUCUAUGAAGUGAUGGUGUGCUGCUUGAGAUGCUCAUUAAACGUUUGAGGAAACAAUCCCUUCACCACAGGUACUGGCAAAUGAUAACACAGAACCCCCUGGGCAGGAUUUGGCCUUCUUCCAAAACUCAAAAGAGAAAUGCUCUGCAUCCUCAGAUACAAUGAAGAUUCCUUUAAAAUAAAAUAUAAAAUAAAAGGGGAUGUUUGUCUGGACUGCAAGAAACCAGCAGAAAAGGUGGAACACAGCUCAGCUUGAGAAGAAGUAAAUAGCCCUGGGUCACCACGUCCUUCUUGGGUUUCUCUUCUGCAGCAAAGCUGACCUUCAUGACAUGGACUGUCAGCACCCACGCUCUGAAUCGGCUUAUACCAAGUCACACUAAGGAGACUCGACACGUGGUAGCACAGAUCCUAAAGCUAUUAAGCUGAGCAGCAAAUACAUGAAGGGAGGAAAAAUAAAAUUCAAGAUCACUGCCUGCAUAAACGAGUCUUGCCUCUGGUUGACAUAGCUCACCUUGGUUCUAGGCUGAGUCCGACUGGUAGUGACAGACAAGAAGAGGGCGAGUGGUCAGUCAUGACUUCAGGGCUAUGGCUGAAGGACUAAAGGGGCCCCUGGUCUUAUGAGAAAAGUUCACACUGGACCCUGCAGUCCCCAAGCAGCAUAUCCCACACCCCAGUAAUGUUGGGCUUCCCAAAAGGCGUAGAAAGGUCAGGACUGUAGUGCUACAGCACCCACUAGCCCACUAGCCGGUUACAGCCCGAUCCCUCCCACCUCUGCAACCAAUGCCCCACACAUGCCCUCACUCCCCUGUUUACAUAGAGUUCAUGGGCUCCCGCUGGCCUGGGUCUCCUCAUAGCCUUCUGCCCCUUCUUCCCAUAUCCCAGAGGCUUUUCUUCCUCCAGCAUCCAGCCCCUACCCCAUCCCUACAUUUCAGUUCCCAGCACUUAUGUCUGCCUCCCUCAGAUGGUAUCCACUUCCUAGGCCCCACCAAGCUCCUGUAUGCACAGGGCACCCAGCUGACCUCCAGCUCUGUCCCUUCCCCACUCUUGCUCCAGUCUGAUGUCUCCAAAUGCCUCCAGACCACUGGUUCUCAAAACACAA